Molecule: ribosomal RNA, 253 nt
Filed under: uncultured bacterium
Lineage: Bacteria
Description: partial 16S ribosomal RNA
Rfam family: Bacterial small subunit ribosomal RNA
Source: RNAcentral
UACGUAGGGGGCUAGCGUUGUCCGGAAUCAUUGGGCGUAAAGAGCGUGUAGGCGGUCCGGUAAGUCCGCUGUGAAAGUCGGGGGGCUCAACCCUCGAAUGCCGGUGGAUACUGUCGGGCUUGAGUGCGGGAGAGGCGAGUGGAAUCCUGGUGUAGCGGUGAAAUGCGCAGAUAUCAGGAGGAACACCAAUUGCGAAGGCAGCUCGCUGGAACGUAACUGACGCUGAGACGCGAAAGCGUGGGGAGCAAACAGG